AUUCCCCAAAUUCCCAAAAUUAUCCCAAAAUAAAUCCCAAAAAAAGCCCCAAAAAAUCCCCCCCAAAAACCAAAAAAAUUCCCAAAAAUAUCCCAAAAAAUCCCAAAAAAUUCCUAAAAAUCCCCAAAAAUUCCAAAAAAAUCCCCCCAAAAAUAAAGAAAAAAUUCCCAAAAAUCCACCCAAAAAAUCCAAAAAUUCACCAAAAAAAUCCCAAAAAAUCACCAAAAAACCCCAAUUUUAUCCCAUUUUUUUCUGGAUUUUCCCGCUCCAGCUGUGCCCAGCUGUGCCCAGGUGUGCCCAGGUGUGACAGGUGUGCCCAGGUGUGUCUCAGCCACAUCUCCAUGGUCUCACACCCCAAAAAAAUCCCCAAAAAUCACCAAAAAAUCCCCAAAAAUCCCCAAAAAUUCUAAUUUUAUCCCAUUUUUUUCUGGAUUUUCCCGCUCCAGCUGUGCCCAGGUGUGCCCAGGUGUGUCCAGGUGUGCCCAGGUGUGUCCAGGUGUGUCUCAGCCACAUCUCCAUGGUCUCACACCCCAAAAAAAUCACCAAAAAUCCCAAAAAAUCACCAAAAAUUCCAAUUUUAUCCCAUUUUUUCCCGGAUUUUCCCGCUCCAGGUGUGCCCAGGUGUGCCCAGGUGUGUCCAGGUGUGCCCAGGUGUGUCUCAGCCACAUCUCCACGCUGUCAAACCCCAAAAUAUCCCCCAAAAAAUCACCAAAAACCACCAAAAAUCACAAAAAAUCACCAAAAAUUCCAAUUUUAUCCCAUUUUUUUCCGGAUUUUCCCGCUCCAGCUGUGCCCAGCUGUGCCCAGGUGUGCCCAGGUGUGCCCCCAGGUGCGUCACUGCUCCAGCAUCAGCUCGCAGGCGCGGGCCAGCUCGGCCAGGCGCCGCCGGGCGUAGUCCAGCCGGUUCAGCGCCAGCUGGCAGCUCUUGCGCGCGGCGUAGCUCGAGCCCUCGUGGGGCUGCCCCGUGGCCACCUGGGCAGGUGAGAAACGCACCUGAGACACCCGAAACGCACCUGGGGAGCCCCAAAACUCACCUGGGGAGCCUAAAAUCCACCUGGGGAGCCCCCAAAACCCCCCAAAACCAACCUGAGACACCGGAAACGCACUUGGGGAGCCCCAAAAACCCCAAAAUUCCACCCAAAACGCAGCUGGGGAGC
Molecule: long non-coding RNA, 1157 nt
Filed under: Cyanistes caeruleus (blue tit)
Lineage: Eukaryota; Metazoa; Chordata; Aves; Passeriformes; Paridae
Description: lncRNA (ENSCCEG00000004875.1)
Source: RNAcentral